Molecule: long non-coding RNA, 732 nt
Organism: Amphiprion ocellaris (clown anemonefish)
Lineage: Eukaryota; Metazoa; Chordata; Actinopteri; Pomacentridae
Source: Ensembl
CCAGAUGAUGGACAGUAAAGAGAUGGCAGCAAAUGAAGUUCAAUUCAACAACAAAGUGUGGAAACACCCAAAGCUCUCACUGUUCAACCAGAAACUAAACCACUGCAGUAUCAACACAUCUGCCUGCAGACGGAAACGUUCUCUGAAAACCUUUACAGAACGUUAACGAGCGUAGCAUCCAACAGCUUCCACCAAGACGUCAACUCUAACUGCAACAAAACAACAAGAUGCAGGAGUUAGUGGGCCGGCUGUAGCAGCACUGUGGAGAUAAAACCAUGGAACAAACCGCUCUCACCUCGUAGCAUCAAACAACAAACCAAGGAUCUGAUCAUGAAGUUUACAACAAACUGGUGAAGAAAAUGGAGCAGCUAAAGAUCUCCUUCAAUGUGAAUGUGGAGACCAAAACCGAGCUACAACGGACCAUUUUAGUGAAGGUACCAGAAACACGAGUCCAGAUGAAGAGAUGCGCUCUUGUCUCCAGAAGAGAGAUGGGCUUCCAUAUGACCAUGGAGGCUAAAGCUGUGGUUCUCUGGUCACUCAUUGGUCCCAUAGAGGUGGUGAUGGAGCAGCAGGACCGGGUCUAGCAGCUCCAGGCCCGGGUCUACCAGCUCCAGGCCCGGGUCUACCAGCUCCAGGCCCGGGUCUAGCAGCUCCAGGCCCAGGUUUCCAGCUCCAGGCCCGGGUCUAGCACCUCCAGGACCAGGUCUACCAGCUCCAGGCCCGGGUUUCCAG